GUGUAUGGUGAUGGAAUCAAGCAGAGGAUCUGCAUGUUCUUCAUCAUUUCCCUCUUUUCCAUUUUGCAGUACCAUAAUGGUAUAGUUAAGGUUUCUGUGCUUCAUCGUAAUGAUAAUAAUAAUAAAUGUUCUGAGAAAUAAUAUUAUGAAGCUUUCAUGGCAUGCAUAUAAUAUAGUUCUUUCGGACACUCUUCUAUGCUACAUAUAUACUGAAACAUUUUGAGUCACAAUAAGCAUUGCAUCACCAUAAGCUUCACACUUACCCUUUCGACUCACCCAUAAACUCUCAUUUUAGUGAUAGGAAAAAAACGCAUCCCAAAGCAGCACCUACAAUCGAUUGUAAAAAAUAAAUAAUAUAAAAUGUUUUGAUCGUGAAUAUGCAACCUACAACUAUAACUAUAAGUAAUUAAUUAAAUUUUCAUUUUGUUUUGUUAUAAUUUUAUAAAAGAAUUUAAAUAAAAAUUAUAAAAAAAACACAAUAAUUAAACUCGUUCACUAAAAUCACUAAAAAAAAAUAAGGAUCUACUAAUUGUAGAUUCACAUUCAACACUUAAUACAUAAAAGAUAAAGCAAAGCAAGAAACUGAUUAAUUCGUGGGUAGAACAAUAAAAAGGUCCCCUUCUUUAAUUUCCCUUUCCUUUUCUCAUUUUAUCAAAAUCCUCAUUCUAAUUUAUUAUAAUAUAUGAUGUGAUAUAUCAUAGUGCUUCAGUUCUUGGUAGUUCGUCCACCCAUAAAUAUGCAUAUUCCCUUCCUCUAAAUUUGAUUGCGAUUUUUCUUGGACAGUUGGUGAUACAUCAAAGUACACCCAACUCAAAAGUCAGAGCAAUUACGAAGGGUAUUCUUGAAAAAAAAUCAAAAAGUUAAAAAAAACUACGAACAGUAAUUCUCAUUUUUUUACAUUUCACUGAUAAUUGAUAAGUUCGUGGUGGUGUAAUUUUUUAUUAAAAAAUAAUAAAUAACAAAUAUUUUAGAGAUACUUCAUUUCUAAUAUAAAAAAGACAAGUUAUAUAUACGUAUAAUCUUAAAAAAUAGGAAAGGUGAACAAAAUUUAUUACAAUAAUUAUUUGUUUACUCCACACGAGUUGAUCAAUGGAGUUGUAUCACUGAAAAUGUCACUAAUUAGAUACAUAAAAAUAUUUUUUUGUCAAUAAAAAUAAUAAAUAAAUAAAUAUAAAUCAUUUAAGAAGUGGUUAAACUCAUAUACAUGUCAAAAUUUCACUCAAAAGAGAAAUUAUGUAAUUUUGCUAAAACUUACUAACUCAAAACCAACAAACACAUUUAAAAGAAUAAUACCAUCCAACAUUAAAAAGCAUAUGAAGUGGUAGAUACAUUAUUUUUCUUUACCAACAAAAAUAAAUUAAAUUUAAAUGAAUAUUCAAGAGAUGAUUUAACUCAUUUGCAUAAAAAAAAUAUAAAAAUAUGAGGUUAGUCACCUCCAUUCCCAAUAUGCUCUAUUCCAAACUUACUCUAUAUAAUACAAUCCCAAAAUAUGAGAAAUGCAGAAUUGUUGGUUGUAAUAGAAGAGUUACCUAGUUUUGGUUUUAGAUCUAAUUCAACACCAAAACUAACUUAUAAAAAUACUAAUUAUUCCUUAAGAUAUCACACAAUAAAACAUAUAUAUAUAUAUAUAUAUAUAUGAAAGUGAAAGAAGAGUUUCAUUUCAUACUUACAAUAACUUUUGAAAUGGACUUACAUCCAACCCUAAAUUCUGAAGAGUUUCAUGUGUCUUCCAUAAAUUUGCAAACCCCAUAGUUAUUGUUUGGUACUCUCCCACUGAAGUUAGUGGCUCCAAAUGAAUGAAAAAGAAAUUAGAGAAAGACAAUGACUUACAUAGUACUAGUGCACUACUACACUCUCCAAGCAUUUAUCCAUGGAGGCCAAUGUGUCCGUAGAUCAAUUCAAAGCGAAGCCUCCAAAUUUGGACGAUGUUCUUUGCAACUCACAAACCAGUAUGAAUAGGAUGCAAU
RNAcentral lists this long non-coding RNA (1967 nucleotides) under Phaseolus vulgaris (common bean). RNAcentral's name for it is "long non-coding RNA (PVUL_LNC001143)". The record is from RNAcentral. Lineage: Eukaryota; Viridiplantae; Streptophyta; Magnoliopsida; Fabales; Fabaceae.